RNAcentral lists this long non-coding RNA (200 nucleotides) under Vigna radiata. Its description in RNAcentral is "long non-coding RNA (VRAD_LNC000101)". The record is from RNAcentral. Lineage: Eukaryota; Viridiplantae; Streptophyta; Magnoliopsida; Fabales; Fabaceae.
UGGGAAUUUGUUGGUCCUGUCAGAGGUGGAGGUUCAGAUAACAACAAUUCUUGUUUUAGCCCAACACUAUGAUCCAUUUCUAGUUGAUGCCAACAAUAGAAGAAUUUGAGGAGACCUUAGAUGUAUUCCUCAAGGGAAACACUUCAUACCACCUUGGGCAGUAUAUACCUGNUUUGCAGCUAGCAAGGAUAAUGAAAGUU